AUAAACGCUAGCGGCAGGCCUAAUACAUGCAAGUCGAACGGGCAAUAGCAAUAUUGUUAGUGGCGCACGGGUGAGUAACACGUACAUAACUUACCCUCAAUAGGGAGAUAGCCUUGGGAAACUGAGAGUAAUAUCCCAUAGUAUUAUAGAGUGGCAUCAUUUUAUAAUUAAAGCUGAGGCGAUUGGGGAUAGAUGUGCGUCUGAUUAGCUAGUUGGUAGAGUAACGGCCUACCAAGGCUACGAUCAGUAGGGGGCGUGAGAGCGUGGUCCCCCACACGGGUACUGAGACACGGACCCGACUCCUACGGGAGGCAGCAGUAAGGAAUAUUGGUCAAUGCCCGCAAGGGUGAACCAGCCAUGCCGCGUGCAGGAUGACGGCCCUCUGGGUUGUAAACUGCUUUUGGAUAGGAAGAAAAUGAUUUAUUUAUGAGUUUUUGACGGUACUAUCAGAAUAAGCACCGGCUAACUCCGUGCCAGCAGCCGCGGUAAUACGGAGGGUGCGAGCGUUAUCCGGAAUUACUGGGUUUAAAGGGUGCGUAGGCGGUUAGAUAAGUCAGGGGUGAAAGGAUUCAGCUUAACUGGAUAAUUGCCUUUGAUACUGUUUGACUGGAAUUAUGUUGAGGUUGGCGGAAUGUGACAUGUAGCGGUGAAAUGCAUAGAUAUGUCAUAGAACACCGAUUGCGUAGGCAGCUGACUGGGCAUAUAUUGACGCUGAGGCACGAAAGCGUGGGGAGCGAACAGGAUUAGAUACCCUGGUAGUCCACGCCCUAAACGAUGUACACUCGUUGUUUGGACGCA
This 798-nucleotide ribosomal RNA is filed under the name uncultured bacterium. RNAcentral's name for it is "bacterial SSU rRNA". It matches the Rfam family "Bacterial small subunit ribosomal RNA", at positions 29 to 832 of the family's 1533-position model. The record is from RNAcentral.